RNAcentral lists this ribosomal RNA (460 nucleotides) under uncultured bacterium. RNAcentral describes it as "partial 16S ribosomal RNA". It matches the Rfam family "Bacterial small subunit ribosomal RNA", at positions 338 to 795 of the family's 1533-position model. The record is from RNAcentral.
CCUACGAGUGGCAGCAGUGAGGAAUAUUGGUCAAUGGGCGUAAGCCUGAACCAGCCAAGUCGCGUGAGGGCUGAAGGUUCUAUGGAUCGUAAACCUCUUUUAUAAGGGAAUAAAGUGCGGGACGUGUCCCGUUUUGUAUGUACCUUAUGAAUAAGGCUCGGCUAACUCCGUGCCAGCAGCCGCGGUCAUACGGAGGAUCCGAGCGUUCUCCGGAUUUAUUGGGUUUAAAGGGUGCGUAGGCGGCCUUUUAAGUCAGCGGUGAAAGUCUGUGGCUCAACCAUAGAAUUGCCGUUGAAACUGGGAGGCUUGAGUAUGUGUGAGGCAGGCGGAAUGCGUGGUGUAGCGGUGAAAUGCUUAGAUAUCACGCAGAACCCCGAUUGCGAAGGCAGCUUGCCAAGCCAUGACUGACGCUGAUGCACGAAAGCGUGGGGAUCAAACAGGAUUAGAGACCCUUGUAGUC